This 1141-nucleotide long non-coding RNA is filed under the name Brachypodium distachyon (stiff brome). Its description in RNAcentral is "long non-coding RNA (BDIS_LNC004657)". Lineage: Eukaryota; Viridiplantae; Streptophyta; Magnoliopsida; Poales; Poaceae. The record is from RNAcentral.
UGCUACUUUCGUGUAAUCGCGUGUGUCGGUUAGACCACCUGUUUUACCGUCGUCAAGACUCCAACUUAUCGUCUCGUUUAGACAUUGGUUUGAUAUAGUAUAUUCGCAAUUUUAGAUUGCAUCUGCUAUUUAUCUUGUUCUUGCUUGUUCUUCGAUUGCUUGCAGGAACAAAGACCUUCGUGGUCAGGUUGAUCGUGCCCCCGCGUGAUCAAUAACCCUUUGGAGUUGGUGUAUCGAUUGCUAAGGCGCUGCCUCCUAGGCCGUAGUCGGAUCGUCAACGUCACCUCCUACCCAAAUCGAGAGUUACCAAUCUCAUCGAAAGAUCGGGCCACCCGCACCCGUAUCACGUGGUAUCAGAGCUUAAGGUUGCUCGGUGAGAUUUUUCCAGUUUAUCCGUAGUUUAGAUCUGUUUUUUACCUAUCGUCCAGAAAAAGCCAAACAAAAAUUAGAAUUAGUUACCUUGUCCUAGAACCAAUCUGAGCCUUGCAAUUUUCACAUUAGUAUUUGCAUUGUUGAAUCUUUGCUGCAUUAAUCGUGUCGAGUUGCUGGAUUAGAUUGGAUCGUUUUUCAGAUUUUUUCUACUAGAUCGAACUUGCUUUUGGUUUUCUUGUUCUUCGUGUGACGCAGGUUUCCUUCAUCAAUCUUCCGCCGCCAAACUUCCUGCCACACCACCACCAUAAUCUCCCGCCACCACCAUAUCUUCCACCGAGUCUCUCUUCGAGUCCUACACCGAGUCCCUCUUGGAGUCCUACACCGAGUCCCUCAUCGAGUCCUACACCGAGUCCCUCAUCGAGUCCUACACCGGGUCCCUCGUCGAGUCCUACACGGUGUCCUACAUCGAGUUCUACAUUGAGUCGGCAAGUAAUAGUUUUCAGCCGCAAGUUCGAGUCCGAGUCCAAUAAGGAGUGCUUUUGGAAAGUUUUCAUAAUAGAUCGAAUUUUGUUUAGAGAUCAAGUUGUUCGGAAAGUUGUCAAAAAAAAAAGAAAGGAAAGAAAAAAAAAAGGAAAGAAAGAAAAAAAAAAGGAAAAAAAAAAGAUAAAGAGUUCGAGUCAGUUUCGGACCCGAGUCCGAGUAGAAUUUUAGUUUCGGAUGGGUUUGACUCGUGUUCAGUAAAACGGGCGUAUAUUUUGCAUACCAACUC